This 506-nucleotide ribosomal RNA is filed under the name uncultured bacterium. RNAcentral describes it as "partial 16S ribosomal RNA". It matches the Rfam family "Bacterial small subunit ribosomal RNA", at positions 28 to 523 of the family's 1533-position model. The record is from RNAcentral.
GAUGAACGCUAGCUACAGGCUUAACACAUGCAAGUCGAGGGGUAACAAGAGGAAAGCUUGCUUAUCUUGUUGACGGCCGGCGCACGGGUGAGUAACGCGUAUCCAACCUGCCUAUAACUAGGGAAUAACCUUGCGAAAGUAAGACUAAUACCCUAUGAUUUCCUUUGAUGACAUCAGAUAAGGAAUAAAGAUUUAUCGUUUAUAGAUGGGGAUGCGUCGGAUUAGCUUGUUGGCGGGGUAACGGCCCACCAAGGCAACGAUCAGUAGGGGUUCUGAGAGGAAGGUCCCCCGCAUUGGAACUGAGACACGGUCCAAACUCCUACGGGAGGCAGCAGUGAGGAAUAUUGGUCAAUGGGCGGAAGCCUGAACCAGCCAAGUAGCGUGCAGGAUGACGGCCCUAUGGGUUGUAAACUGCUUUUAUACAGGAAUAAAGUUAGCCACGUGUGGUUAUUUGUAGGUACUGUAUGAAUAAGGACCGGCUAAUUCCGUGCCAGCAGCCGCCGUAA